Molecule: ribosomal RNA, 291 nt
Filed under: uncultured bacterium
Lineage: Bacteria
Description: partial 16S ribosomal RNA
Rfam family: Bacterial small subunit ribosomal RNA
Source: RNAcentral
GUGCCAGCCGCCGCGGUAAUACGUAGGGGGCUAGCGUUAUCCGGAAUUACUGGGCGUAAAGGGUGCGUAGGUGGUUUCUUAAGUCAGAGGUGAAAGGCUACGGCUCAACCGUAGUAAGCCUUUGAAACUGGGAAACUUGAGUGCAGGAGAGGAGAGUGGAAUUCCUAGUGUAGCGGUGAAAUGCGUAGAUAUUAGGAGGAACACCAGUUGCGAAGGCGGCUCUCUGGACUGUAACUGACACUGAGGCACGAAAGCGUGGGGAGCAAACAGGAUUAGAUACCCCCGUAGUCC